RNAcentral lists this ribosomal RNA (2017 nucleotides) under Candidatus Kryptobacter tengchongensis. RNAcentral's name for it is "bacterial LSU rRNA". It matches the Rfam family "Bacterial large subunit ribosomal RNA", at positions 1 to 1915 of the family's 2925-position model. The record is from RNAcentral. Lineage: Bacteria; Pseudomonadati; Candidatus Kryptoniota.
AUUUGGCUAAGUUACUAAGGGCACACGGUGGAUGCCUAGGCACAGGGUGGCGAUGAAGGACGUGGCUACCUGCGAUAAGCCCCGGGGAGGCGGUAGCAGCCUGUGAUCCGGGGAUCUCCGAAUGGGGCAACCCGUCCCGAGUAAUGUCGGGACAUCCCGGCGAAAGCUGGGAGGCAAACGGGGGGAAGUGAAAUAUCUCAGUACCCCCAGGAAAAGAAAGCAAAAGCGAUUCCCUUAGUAGCGACGAGCGAACGGGGAAGAGCCCAAACUGGCAAUGUGUAAAAGGCCACGGCCGUUGCAUUGCCAGGGUUGUGGGACAUCCGCGGGCCGAGCCGUGGGUUAGGCCGGGAAGUUACAAAUCAUCUCGUUAGCCGAAUGACCUGGAAAGGUCAGCCAUAGAGGGUGAAAGCCCCGUAGGCGAAAACGAGAUGACUUCCUGGCGGGUGUUCCCAAGUACCACGGGAUAAGCGGAACCCUGUGGGAAUCAGGGAGAACCAUCUCCCAAGGCUAAAUACACCCCUGUGACCGAUAGUGCACCAGUACCGUGAGGGAAAGGUGAAAAGAACCCCGGGAGGGGAGUGAAAUAGAACCUGAAACCGUGUGCCUACAAACGGUGGGAGCGAGUCCUACCUUGGUUUUCCGAGGUAGGAUGAGUGACCGCGUGCCUUUUGCUUAAUGAGCCAGGGAGUUGCCGUACGUUGCGAGGUUAACGGCCUUAGGCCGGGAGCCGUAGCGAAAGCGAGUCCGAAUAGGGCGUUUUAGUAACGUGCGGCAGACGCGAAACCGUGUGAUCUACCCAUGGCCAGGGUGAAGUGGGGGUAAUACCCCAUGGAGGCCCGAACCGGUGUGGGUUGAAAACCGCUCGGAUGAGCUGUGGGUAGGAGUGAAAAGCUAAUCGAACACGGUGAUAGCUCGUACUCCCCGAAAUAGCUUUAGGGCUAGCCUCGCGUAACAGAGUGGCGGAGGUAGAGCACUGAUUGGGCUAGGGGCGUCACAACGCUACCAAACCCAGUCAAACUCCGAAUUCCGCCACGUCGUUUCGCGGGAGUCAGGCAGUGGGGGAUAAGCUCCAUUGCCGAGAGGGGAAGAACCCAGACCGCCAGCUAAGGCCCCAAAGUACAGGCUAAGUGAGACAAAGGAUGUCGGGUUGCUAAGACAGCCAGGAUGUUGGCUUAGAAGCAGCCAUUCAUUUAAAGAGUGCGUAACAGCUCACUGGUCGAGCGACCCGGCGCCGAAAAUUCUCGGGGCUUAAGCCUGUCGCCGAAGCUGCGGUCCCGAUAGAUUUCAGAUCUAUCGGGAGGUAGGGGAGCAUUCUAUCCGGGUUGAAGUCCUGGCGUGAGCUGGGAUGGACUGGAUAGAAGAGCGGAUCCUGGCAUUAGUAGCGAUAAGGAGGGUGAGAAUCCCUCCCGCCGAAAGCCUAAGGUUUCCUUGCGCAACGUUCGUCGGCGCAGGGUUAGCCGGCCCCUAAGGCGAGGCCGAAAGGCGUAGCCGAUGGGAAACGGGUUAAUAUUCCCGUGCCUGCUUGAAACCGUUUGACCGUGAGGGGUGACGCAGGAGCGAAGGGCCAGCCACCUGCCGGCUUAGGUGGUCUAAGCCUGUAGGAGGAGGAUGUAGGCAAAUCCGCAUCCUCAUAACUCCGAGAGGCGAAUGGGAGGGCGUAAGCCCACAAACUGGUCUGGAGCACACUGCCAAGAAAAACCUCGCACGGGAGGUUUCAAGCAGACCGUACCGCAAACCGACACAGGUAGGCGGGGUGAGUAUCCUAAGGCGCGCGAGUGAGCCGUGGCUAAGGAACUCGGCAAAUUGGCCCCGUAACCUCGGGAGAAGGGGUGCCCCUAGUAGGUGAGUUCCCUUGCGGAACGAGCCCAACGGGGUCGCAGUGAAAGGGUCCAAGCGACUGUUUAUCAAAAACACAGGUCUCUGCCAACUCGUAAGAGGAGGUAUAGGGACUGACACCUGCCCGGUGCCGGAAGGUUAAGGGGAGGGGUUAGCCCGCAAGGGCGAAGCUCCAAACCGA